Long non-coding RNA from Calidris pugnax (ruff), 830 nucleotides. RefSeq lists it as uncharacterized. The transcript is spliced from 3 exons. NCBI's taxonomy places the organism in Eukaryota, Metazoa, Chordata, Aves, Charadriiformes, Scolopacidae. The record is from RefSeq and is a predicted model, not a curated record.
GCAGCACUGGAGCAGCGAAGCCACCUCCUUUCCACCCCAGUGCCCGACGGGGUCUCUGCGUGUUCCUGUGCCCCAUGAGUCCCUGCCACCAGCACCAUGUGGUCACCAGCUCCUCCGCUCAUCCCAAACCUUCCCAGCUCACGAUGUUUGUCUUUAAUGACAAUUUUAAAGACCACGCUGGGAUUUCAGCAAAUCGCCCGCAGACCUGGCAUCCUCGGAGAGAUAACAGCGCAGCUUCACGGCAGGCUGAGAAAUUCAGCUACUGACACCCAUUGUGCCGGGCACAGCCACGACCUCGAGGGGAUUUAGCCCUUGUAUUGGGGAUUUCUGCAACAUAGCGACCAGGAGCCAGUCAAAGCCCGUGAAAUCACACCCACAGCCUCAGGCACCAAGGGCAGGAACAGUUACGUCGCAGAGGGAUGACACUGCAUCGAUCCAUCGUGACACGGGGAUGUGAGAGGAAGAGCUGCAGCCGCCUCCUGCGGCCCCUGCACCACCUGCAGGGCUUGUUGCGGGACAGAAAAGAGCCUGAAGAGGAAUCGGGCUGAGACUUAUGUGUUUGGAAAGUGAAUUCCUGUCCGGGAUGGAGCGUCAGAGCCCACGGGAAAGUGGACACUGUGUUUCUUCCACGCUCACCGUCGCUGGAGUUCAUUGCCCUCAGCUGGGUCUCCAGCACCCGCGGUGAUUUCCAAGGCGUGAGCUGUCGGGUUUGCUGUGUGUGAGCUUGGGAGAGCUGUGCCUCAGUUUCCUCACACAUAGACCAGAAUUUAUAGGAACAGUCUUUAUAAAGUGUAAAGCCUUUGUAUCAUAUACCGCUCUACAAAGAUCAA